ACGGCUCAGUAACACGUAGCUAACCUACCCUUAAGUCGAGGAUACUCUCGGGAAACUGAGGUUAAUACUCGAUAGGAGAUGUACCCUGGAAUGAUUCAUCUCUCAAAUUCGAGCUUAAGGAUGGGGCUGCGGCGGAUUAGGUUGUUGGCGGGGUAAAAGCCCACCAAGCCGAUGAUCCGUAAGGGCUCUUAGCGGAGAGGCCCUGAGAGGGAAUCUGAGACACUAUUCCCAGCCCUACGGGGUGCAGCAGUUAGGAAUCUUCUGCAAUGCGCGCAAGCGUGACAGAUUGAGCCAGAGUGAUUUUCAUUUGAAAAUCUUUUGCCAAAUGUAAAAAGUUUGGCGAAUAAGGACUGGGUAAGACGGGUGCCAGCCGCCGCGGUAAUACCCGCGGUCCAAGUCGCAGCCAUCAUUAUUGGGUCUAAAACAUCCGUAGCUUGCUUAAUAAGUUUCCUGUGAAAUUCUAUAUCUCAAAUAUAGAGCGGGCAAGAAGUACUGUUAAGCUAGAGACUGGAAGACGUAAGAAGUACGUUUGGAGUAGCGGUAAAAUGUGUUAAUCCCAGACGGACUAACAACAGCGAAGGCAUCUUACGAGGACAGUUCUGACAGUAAGGGAUGAAGGCUAGGGGCGCAAAACGGAUUAGAUACCCGUGUAGUCCUAGCAGUAAACACUGCACACUAAACAUUAGUACCUCCUCGAGAGGUGUUAGUGCUGAAGAGAAGUCGAAGAGUGUGCUACCUGGGAAGUAUAGUCGCAAGGCUGAAACUUAAAGGAAUUGGCGGGGGAGCAC
RNAcentral lists this ribosomal RNA (788 nucleotides) under uncultured archaeon. Its description in RNAcentral is "bacterial SSU rRNA". It matches the Rfam family "Archaeal small subunit ribosomal RNA", at positions 85 to 879 of the family's 1478-position model. The record is from RNAcentral.